UACGGAGGGUGCAAGCGUUGCUCGGAAUUAUUGGGCGUAAAGGGUAGGUAGGUGGUCUCAUUUGUCUGGGGUGAAAGCCUUGAGCUUAACUCAAGAAGUGCCCUAGAAACGGUGAGACUGGAGUCCUGGAGAGGGUCGUGGAAUUCCCGGUGUAGCGGUGAAAUGCGUAGAGAUCGGGAGGAACACCAGAGGCGAAAGCGGCGACCUGGACAGGUACUGACACUCAAAUACGAAAGCGUGGGGAGCAAACAGG
This 253-nucleotide ribosomal RNA is filed under the name uncultured bacterium. RNAcentral describes it as "partial 16S ribosomal RNA". It matches the Rfam family "Bacterial small subunit ribosomal RNA", at positions 524 to 776 of the family's 1533-position model. The record is from RNAcentral.